GGAUGAACGCUGGCGGCGUGCCUAAUACAUGCAAGUCGAACGCACAGCGAAAGGUGCUUGCACCUUUCAAGUGAGUGGCGAACGGGUGAGUAACACGUGGAUAACCUACCUCAAGGUUGGGGAUAACAUUUGGAAACAGAUGCUAAUACCGAAUAAAACUUCGUAUCGCAUGAUACAAGGUUAAAAGGCGCUACGGCGUCACCUAGAGAUGGAUCCGCGGUGCAUUAGUUAGUUGGUGGGGUAAAGGCCUACCAAGACAAUGAUGCAUAGCCGAGUUGAGAGACUGAUCGGCCACAUUGGGACUGAGACACGGCCCAAACUCCUACGGGAGGCUGCAGUAGGGAAUCUUCCACAAUGGGCGAAAGCCUGAUGGAGCAACGCCGCGUGUGUGAUGAAGGCUUUCGGGUCGUAAAGCACUGUUGUAUGGGAAGAACAGCUAGAGUAGGGAAUGACUUUAGUUUGACGGUACCAUACCAGAAAGGGACGGCUAAAUACGUGCCAGCAGCCGCGGUGAUACGUAUGUCCCGAGCGUUAUCCGGAUUUAUUGGGCGUAAAGCGAGCGCAGACGGUUGAUUAAGUCUGAUGUGAAAGCCCGGAGCUCAACUCCGGAAAGGCAUUGGAAACUGGUCAACUUGAGUGCAGUAGAGGUAAGUGGAACUCCAUGUGUAGCGGUGGAAUGCGUAGAUAUAUGGAAGAACACCAGCGGCGAAGGCGGCUUACUGGACUGUAACUGACGUUGAGGCUCGAAAGUGUGGGUAGCAAACAGGAUUAGAUACCCUGGUAGUCCACACCGUAAACGAUGA
This 803-nucleotide ribosomal RNA is filed under the name uncultured bacterium. RNAcentral's name for it is "bacterial SSU rRNA". It matches the Rfam family "Bacterial small subunit ribosomal RNA", at positions 27 to 812 of the family's 1533-position model. The record is from RNAcentral.